AUCUGGUUCAGGAUGAACGCUGCGGCGUGCUUAACACAUGCAAGCGAACGAAGCACCUCUAAUCGAAGAUUGAGAAAGCUUGCUUUGAUUGAUUCACCUUGAGGUGACUGAGUGGCGGACGGGUGAGUAACGCGUGGGUAACCUACCCUAUACAGGGGGAUAACAGUUGGAAACGACUGCUAAUACCGCAUAAGCGCACAGGACCGCAUGGUCUAGUGUGAAAAAACUCCGGUGGUAUAGGAUGGACCCGCGUCUGAUUAGCUAGUUGGUGAGGUAACGGCUCACCAAGGCGACGAUCAGUAGCCGACCUGAGAGGGUGACCGGCCACAUUGGGACUGAGACACGGCCCAAACUCCUACGGGAGGCAGCAGUGGGGAAUAUUGCACAAUGGGCGAAAGCCUGAAUGCAGCGACGCCGCGUGAACGAAGAAGUAUUUCGGUAUGUAAAGUUCUAUCAGCAGGGAAGAAAAAUGACGGUACCUGACUAAGAAGCUCCGGCUAAAUACGUGCCAGCCGCGGC
Molecule: ribosomal RNA, 519 nt
Filed under: uncultured bacterium
Lineage: Bacteria
Description: bacterial SSU rRNA
Rfam family: Bacterial small subunit ribosomal RNA
Source: RNAcentral